GACGAACGCUGGCGGCGUGCUUAACACAUGCAAGUCGAACGGAAAGGCCUCUUUCGGGGGGUACUCGAGUGGCGAACGGGUGAGUAACACGUGAGUAACCUGCCCUUGACUUUGGGAUAACUUCAGGAAACUGGGGCUAAUACCGGAUAGGAGCUCCUGCUGCAUGGUGGGGGUUGGAAAGUUUCGGCGGUUGGGGAUGGACUCGCGGCUUAUCAGCUUGUUGGUGGGGUAGUGGCUUACCAAGGCUUUGACGGGUAGCCGGCCUGAGAGGGUGACCGGCCACAUUGGGACUGAGAUACGGCCCAGACUCCUACGGGAGGCAGCAGUGGGGAAUAUUGCACAAUGGGUGGAAGCCUGAUGCAGCAACGCCGUGUGCGGGAUGACGGCCUCGG
Molecule: ribosomal RNA, 392 nt
Filed under: uncultured bacterium
Lineage: Bacteria
Description: bacterial SSU rRNA
Rfam family: Bacterial small subunit ribosomal RNA
Source: RNAcentral